Molecule: long non-coding RNA, 1853 nt
Filed under: Coffea arabica (coffee)
Lineage: Eukaryota; Viridiplantae; Streptophyta; Magnoliopsida; Gentianales; Rubiaceae
Description: long non-coding RNA (CARA_LNC003681)
Source: RNAcentral
UUUUUUUUUUUUUUUUUUUUUUUGCUCUGUAAGGAUAUUUGUCUUGAAAGUUGAAACUAUUAUAAUUAAUAAGCAUCAAACAAAUUUGAAAGAUAAGGGCAUUUUUGUCAAUAAUUACAUGAGCGUGAAUUUAGAAUAGAGGGCAGACUUGGUCCUACCUCCCCUUUGUUGUCAUCUCCAGUGUCUCGUCCAUUCGUGCAGGUUGUGGGUGCAAUCAUAUAGAUCGCUUAGCUAAUGCAUGAUUGAUCGUUUGACCAUUUCCAAAUUAAGCAUCAUUGUGGCAUAACUUACAUGAAUCAAAUAGGCAGUUACGAUUACUCUCCCUCUUAUCUCUCCCACUCGACGGCCUUCACUUUUUCCUUUGGAAAAAAGAAAGAAAAAGGCCUUUGCUUUCUCUGUUCGUUUUUGUCUUUUUUUUUUUUCGCUUUUUCGGGUUUUAGGAUUCAAGGUUCAACAACUACAAUUAUACUUAAGAUCAAGUGCACAGUUUUCAUGUGUAGCUUUCUUGUAGAGUACAUACAUCACUCCAAAAAAUCGUAAAUGUUUGUUGAGACCUUAAAUCUAUGUACUAAAUAUUCGUUUAAUUUGUGUUUCUUUGAGUUUUUAAAAAUUAAUGAUAAUCCGUCCUUCAAAACACAUCAACCAUGUUAAUGAGCACUUGAAAUUAAUAAUGUUUUCAAUUUACCUUAAAAGUCAAUUUUGCUAUAGCUUGGUACGUGUCAGCAUGAAUAGCUUGUUUUCAGAGUCUUUCCUGUUAUUAAAUUCAAUAUUCGAAUUAAGUUUCUGAUAAUCGGGGUUGAGAGAGUGUCGGAAGGGGUUGGGAGGGAAAUUUUUUUGAGAAAAUCAUGAAUAGCUUGUGAUGGCUAACAAGCUAUUAUGCAUCUCAACGAAUUGAAAGGCAAAUACUCUUUUGAAGAGAGAAAUUAGUCGGCAGGUUAGUUGGAAAACUUACAAAUAAACUUGCAUUAGUGAACAAUGAACAAUUAGAAAAAGUCGGACAAGUUUAAACUCUAAACAGUGAAGGGUGGAAGCAAAGUCAACUGAUAACAAAUGCAUUGGAAUUUAGAACACGGUCACCAUCAGCGGCCGACUAAGCCCCAUUAGAUUGAUGCUAUAUGUAAUAAUAAUAAUAAUAUAAAGCCGGUGGCUCAAAAAGCAGCUUGACGGACAAAUCAUGCCCAGAAACCAGAUGAUGGCAAUAUUUGCAAAGUGACUAAUUGACAAAAUGAACAAUGGGCAAACAAUAUUCCUUUUGCCUUCUUCUCCCAGUUCCCCUUUCUUGUAUACGGCUAUCCAAACUCCUGCAAUUUGUAUUCUAACAGUUAAAAUGUCACAUAUGUACAAAAAGAAUGAAUCCAGUACUCUAUACCCCUAACAAUUUCUUACAGGAACAAAAAUAAAAUGGAGGAACAAAAAGCUAGCCAAUACGUAGAGUUCUUUCUUUUUCUUGCAUCAAUAUACAGUGAGUUUACUAUUAACAAAAAACUUGGUACCUUCUUGGUUUUUUUGUUUUUAUUCAGUAACGAUAACAAUUAUAUAAUCUAUUCUAUUCUAAUUUAUAGGAAAGGAAGAGUCUAAAGAGGUUUUUUGUAUUAGAAGCUAGUAGGCAUACAAAUUUGACUAGAUCAAAUGAAUGUUUUGACAUCAUUUUUAAAUUUUUUUCUUUGCAAAUAUAAUUUGAACUCUUACGUACAAUUCAAGAAGAGACUUAAAUCCCUGCUCAGUGGCCACUGGAUUUGGCUCAGUGGUUACCUUCUUGGUUUUAUUGAUUGGAUUCCUCAUGCACAGUUCACUGAUGGUACAAGUUCCUCCAGCACCACAUGCAACUGUUAUUGAUUUUUCCGGCUCAGCUA